GGGACUAACGCUGGGAGGUUUUUGAGUCUCUUUUCUGA
RNAcentral lists this transfer RNA (38 nucleotides) under Tarentola mauritanica (Moorish gecko). RNAcentral's name for it is "partial tRNA-Pro". The record is from RNAcentral. Lineage: Eukaryota; Metazoa; Chordata; Lepidosauria; Squamata; Phyllodactylidae.